GUGGAUGUGGCAGAUGAUAUGUGUCCGAUUUAAGCUUGGAUUAUGGGUUUAAUUAUAGUUUGACCCCUUUCACU
This 74-nucleotide transfer RNA is filed under the name Propeamussium sp. mt1. RNAcentral describes it as "tRNA-Leu". Lineage: Eukaryota; Metazoa; Mollusca; Bivalvia; Pectinida; Propeamussiidae. The record is from RNAcentral.